CUUUCCUAGCGGCGGACGGGUGAGUAAUGCUUAGGAAUCUGCCAUUAGUGGGGGACAACAUUCCGAAAGGAAUGCUAUACCGCAACGCCCUACGGGGGAAGCAGGGGAUCUUCGGACCUUGCGCUAUAGAUGAGCCUAAGUCAGAUUAGCUAGUUGGUGGGGUAAAGGCCUACCGGCGACGAUCUGUAGCGGGUCUGAGAGGAUGAUCCGCCACCUGGGACUGAGACCGGCCCAGACUCCUACGGGAGGCAGCAGUGGGGAAUAUUGGACAAUGGGCGAAAGCCUGAUCCAGCCAUGCCGCGUGUGUGAAGAAGCCUUUUGGUUGUAAAGCACUUUAGCGAGGAGGAGGCUACUUAGAUUAUACUCUAGGAUAGUGGACGUUACUCGCAGAAUAAGCACCGGCUAACUCUGUGCCAGCAGCCGCGGUAAUACAGAGGGUGCGAGCGUUAAUCGGAUUUACUGGGCGUAAAGCGUGCGUAGGCGGCUUUUUAGUCGGAUGUGAAAUCCCUGAGCUUACUUAGGAAUUGCAUUCGAUACUGGGAAGCUAGAGUAUGGGAGAGGAUGGAGAAUUCCAGGUGUAGCGGUGAAAUGCG
This 593-nucleotide ribosomal RNA is filed under the name Acinetobacter sp. RNAcentral's name for it is "bacterial SSU rRNA". It matches the Rfam family "Bacterial small subunit ribosomal RNA", at positions 87 to 690 of the family's 1533-position model. Lineage: Bacteria; Pseudomonadati; Pseudomonadota; Gammaproteobacteria; Moraxellales; Moraxellaceae. The record is from RNAcentral.